Molecule: ribosomal RNA, 464 nt
Filed under: uncultured bacterium
Lineage: Bacteria
Description: bacterial SSU rRNA
Rfam family: Bacterial small subunit ribosomal RNA
Source: RNAcentral
CCAGACUCCUACGGGAGGCAGCAGUGAGGAAUAUUGGUCAAUGGCCGAGAGGCUGAACCAGCCAAGUCGCGUGAGGGAUGACGGCCCUACGGGUUGUAAACCUCUUUUGUCGGGGAGCAAAUUCCGUUACGUGUAACGGAGUCGAGAGUACCCGAAGAAAAAGCAUCGGCUAACUCCGUGCCAGCAGCCGCGGUAAUACGGAGGAUGCGAGCGUUAUCCGGAUUUAUUGGGUUUAAAGGGUGCAUAGGCGGACUGUCAAGUCAGCGGUAAAAUUGCGGGGCUCAACCUCGUCGAGCCGUUGAAACUGGCGUUCUUGAGUGGGCGAGAAGUAUGCGGAAUGCGUGGUGUAGCGGUGAAAUGCAUAGAUAUCACGCAGAACUCCAAUUGCGAAGGCAGCAUACCGGCGCCCAACUGACGCUGAAGCACGAAAGCGUGGGUAUCGAACAGGAUUAGAUACCCGCGUA